Molecule: ribosomal RNA, 253 nt
Filed under: uncultured bacterium
Lineage: Bacteria
Description: partial 16S ribosomal RNA
Rfam family: Bacterial small subunit ribosomal RNA
Source: RNAcentral
UACGAAGGGUGCAAACGGUGCUCGGAAUUAUUGGGCGUAAAGCGCACGUAGGCGGCUUUGCAAGUCGGAUGUGAAAUCCCUCGGCUCAACCAAGGAAGUGCAUCCGAAACUGCAGAGCUUGAGUACGAAAGAGGAUCGCGGAAUUCCCGGUGUAGAGGUGAAAUUCGUAGAUAUCGGGAGGAACCCCAGUGGCGAAGGCGGCGAUCUGGGUCGAUACUGACGCUGAGGUGCGAAAGCGUGGGGAGCAAACAGG